CCGUUGCAAGGGACUCCGAAGAGCUGUGGCAAGGGGUGAAAAGCCAAUCUAACCUGGAGAUAGCUGGUCUUCUGCGAAACCCGUUUUAGCGGGUCGCCCAUUUAUUGAAAUUAAAUUCGUUACUAGACGGUACGGCACUGGAAGCCACGCAGCUUUUGCUGCAUAAUCGGGGGGCUGUCAUGGCUCUAUCGAUGGCUUCUAACCCCGGAAAUGUAUAGUAUACAAUGAUGGGCAAUCAGACGUAUCGUGAUAAGGCGAUUCGUCAAAAGGGCAACAGCCCAGAACAGGUGUGAAGGUCCCUAACAAGCUACUGAGUGAACACAAGGCAGUCCUCUCCAGUGUCUCUCCACAAAGUGGGCUUGGAAGCAGCCACCUUUUAGCGAAAGCGUAACAGCUCAGUGGUCUGAGCCUCCCUGUAAAAAGGGUAUAUUGCCUGGUGAGGGCGCCAAAAAUGUAACGGGUCUAUAGUAGUUGUCUCUCUGUUCCAGCUUUGGAUAUGGAGGGAGUGGCAGUUUCUUUACUGUCUCACCGAAACCCUGUCCUAGAUGUAAAAUUCUAGGGGUAGCAGAAUACCCAGCAAAUGGAAUGAAGCUUGCUCAUUGAGCCGGUGGACAUAGCUGGGCUAAGAAUGCUGACAUGAGUAGCCUAAAAGGAGGGUAAUUCCCUCUUCGCCGAAAGCAGAAGGGUUUCAUUUGUAAGGUCUAUACCUAGAUGAUUAAAGCAGCGGCCUCUAAGGUUCAGAGUAACAAAUUAGUUCCGAUGAGUAACUCUUCUAUAGGGCAGUAACCUUCCUUAUAAGUUUACCUUCAAGUAAUUAGAGGUAUACUUCAAAGAGUAAGGUUCGGGAAAGAGCCCUACAGAAUAAAUCUUAAAACCGUACCCUAAACCGACACAGGUCUGCAAGUAGAGCAUACUAAGGCGUAGAGAUAAUCGUCUUGAAGGAACUCGGCAAAAUGACCCCGUAACUUCGGGAGAAGGGGUGCCACUAAUAAGUGGCGGCACUAAACAGGGGGGCGCGACUGUUUACUUAAAACACCGGACUCUGCUAACACUAGCGUGGAUGUAUAGAGU
This 1071-nucleotide ribosomal RNA is filed under the name Rhizophagus intraradices. RNAcentral describes it as "partial large subunit ribosomal RNA". It matches the Rfam family "Bacterial large subunit ribosomal RNA", at positions 786 to 1851 of the family's 2925-position model. Lineage: Eukaryota; Fungi; Glomeromycota; Glomeromycetes; Glomerales; Glomeraceae. The record is from RNAcentral.